This 4866-nucleotide long non-coding RNA is filed under the name Nicotiana tabacum (common tobacco). RNAcentral's name for it is "long non-coding RNA (NTAB_LNC000417)". The record is from RNAcentral. Lineage: Eukaryota; Viridiplantae; Streptophyta; Magnoliopsida; Solanales; Solanaceae.
GGUAAGGUCUGCGUACACACUACCUUCUCCAGACCCCACUAAGUGGGAUUAUACUGGGUUAUUAUUGUUGUUGUUGAAUUUUGCCUUAUGUUGAGUUUUAAUUUGUAUUUAAAAUGUAUGUAAUUGUUUCAAGUACGUUGGUGAAGUAGUGCAAGUCUUAGGGUGGUUUUGUAUUUAUUUUGUAAUUUUUGUUUUGAGAAUUGUAUUCAAUUUGCGUAUUUUAUUUUCCAAUGUAUCCUUUGGAAAUUGUUUUUUCCCAAAGUUAAUAAGAACAUACUGCCUCCAAAACCGUAGGUCUUUUAUUUAGAGACCGUUUGCAAUCUUUAAUUUUGAGAAUAAGUGAGAAAAUUAUGCUGACGAUAAUAUAACAUUAACUUUUUAAUUAUUUGUAUCUAUUUUUAGAAUAUUAAAGAGAGUGACGGCCAGCCAGCUCCUUCUGAUACUUUUCCCAUGUCAGAAAAUUUAGACUUCUCGAUCAAUUAGUAAUGAACUAUUGAUCCUUGAUUCAAGAGUAACAGCUCCACAUUAACCAGCUUGCAUACAAUCAAAUGUGUAAUUUAUAAUGUAUAAGAAUCAUUUUAGGUUACAUGCUACGGUUCAAGAUUCGAAAUGUUCUAAAUGUGUAUAGUUAAUUGUCCGAAGCAUGUUUAACAUCUUCAAGAUUUUGCAUGAAGACGAUGACAUAAAGACCGUAUUGUCAGAAGUUCAAUAGGAACCAUUUGUCAUAAAUUACAUUUUACCAUAAAUUGUAAAAAAAAAAAAAGGCACUUAACUCUUUGAGUUGAAUUAUAAAAGGAAUUAAGCACAGUAACAGAAAGCUGAUAAACCAACUGAGACCGCGAGAACGAACAGGAAAAUAGUAUACUUAACUUGGGAGAAGCAUCAUGUUCAAAUCCCUAUAUGAAUGAUUCCAUGGAAUCCGCCCAAUCGGCUUUGCUAGGUUUUGAAGAUACCAAAAAACGCAAAACUCGAUUUACAAUCAAAUACGUAGAUACAACAACAAAAUAUGCAGAAGAAAUCAAAUCAACCAUUAGCACAUAAAACAAAAGGGGAAAAUGAAAAAUAGAACAAACAGGACGAAAAUAACAAUCAAACAAAAGACAUAAUUUCAAACAAUAUCGAAUCGAAGAGGAAAACGCAGAAGAAGAUUGCGCUUGUCCUUUUGGAUUCUCUGAUCAGAUUGAAGAAGAAAACAUGGAAGACAAAGAGCUUAUUGAAGGAAAAGCAGAUGAAAGAACUCGGUAGAACGGUAAAAUUAGGUUAGCAAAAUCCACCAACAUAGUCCGCAGACAAAUGCAGCUCAUUAUAUUUGUGUCAAUUAAGUGCAUGGAACUUGUAAUCUAAGACCAAUGGUGGAACGAAGUUAAUUAUAAGCCUAUUGACAUAUACCUUGUUUAAGGAAGCACACGGCCACAAAAAAAUUAUGGACACUUACUAUUUCCGCAAGACUAAUGAAUUCAUAUACAUCUAUUAUUUAAUUAAUCAUAGUAACUCAACCAUACUCUCACCUUAAUUUUUCACUUAAACAUUAGAAAAUUAGUGUGAAUUGGUAUAUAUAAACUUCAGGUGUAACCAACUUAACCUUUAAAGAAUUAUCCACUGAUAGUUAUAAUUAACUUAAGCCAAUAGAGAAAUUUCUUGUCUUUACCCAAACGACUUGCAGGUUCUAUAUCCACUUUUACUCUCAAUUGAACGAAAGCAGGCAACAACACCAGACAAUCAAAUCUAUGCCUCCAUGAAGAAAUGGAAAGUCUACGUGGUCGAAUAGCCUCCCAGUAGAAGCAAGAGUUCUAAAAUCAAGAAAUUUAAGAGUAACUUGACAAUCUGAUGUUUUGAGCCUACAAUAAAAAAGCGCAAAAUGACAAUACAAAAUAAAAAGAGACAACAGAAGAACAGAAUAUAUAUGGUUCUUUGUAAUUGUUGUUGAUUCAUGGAAUUAUGAAUUGUAACGUACAACGGUCUCUUUAUUUGCUAGCAAAUUCAAUGUACUUAUAUGUUUAUACGUAAUGUAUAAUUGUCUAGUGUCUGAAUUUUUAAUUUUAUUUUAUAAAUCUGCAUUGGUUUUUAAAGAGCAUAAUGAUGGCAGAAAGUUGAAGAGACUCAACACUAUUAUCAUGAUAAACAUUAAUUAUUCAAAAAUAUUUUUACCUUUUUGUGCAUCUAUAUUAAAAGAAUAGUUUAGAUAUUAAAGGGCGGAAAAGUCAUUUAAUUUCUUGUAGAUUUUUGGUCUUUCAGUCUUCGAGAGUGAAAGGAUGAAGUCGUACAGUUUUCUCAGUACCAUCCAAGACAUCAUAAAUUGUUUAAUUUCAGUUAUACUUUUUCCUAGAUAGAUGAUUGUGGAGUCCAUCACACUGCAUUGUUGUAGAUGGUUCAAAAAGAAUUUGAUAUAAGUAGGUAAAAAAAAAUAUAUCAAGAGAAAUGCAUUGAACUCAAGCAGAACAAUAAGAAUGGAAGUCAAACUCUACCUUAUUUGACUUUAGAGCCAACCGUUGUAGCAUUCAGUUGAAAAAACAAUCUUCUCUGUCCCUCUUCAUCUGUGACCUGAAAAUCAAUUACUUUUAUAAGUAAAGGAUCCAAAUUGAAAACGAUAGAGCUUCUGAGGAUAAAAAGGUUUGAUCAAGCACUUCUAUACAGCGUGCAGCACUGACAUGUGUCCAAAUGCAAUAUAGGAUCAAUACAGUACUAAAGAUAAGAUAAAGAAAAAUAUCGAUUUUCUCAUAUUGUCAAUGAGUACCACUACUAAUGGCAAUGCCAAAGUAUUAUCGUCGUACACUUCCUCCCUCAACUAUAAAGUGCGAUGUUUCAUUAGAUGUUCAGCUGUAAUCUACAACAAUUAUGUAAUAUAGGAAACAACAUUCCAAAUGUCAAAAAUCCAGUAAGCAAUUUUAGGGGUUGCUAGUUAGAUCCGAUAAACAAUUUUCAAGAUUGGCUAAUCAAGAAGCUUGGAUUUCAUAGAUUACUUAAAGCUCAAUUGACUAUACUAUCCACUUAAUGAAUUUAAACACGAACUAAACUACUUCAAAGGUAAAAUUUAUAUUAAUAUUUGCCUUUGAAUUUAGUUUUCCUUCCCCUUCCAAUCAUUCCAAUCAAGAAGGGAAUGGAACCUUGAAAGUCAUUAGAAAUAAACCAAUAACUAUAUAAUAGUCUAUAUAAAAUGUCAUCAGUUCAAAGAAAAACAUAUGACAUAGCAUCAUAGCCUAAUUUGACCAGUAGCUACAUAACAUCAAAGAACAUCAAAUACAACAGAUGGUAACAAAAUAAAUAGACUUGAAGUAGUAAUUAAUAAAGAAUACUCAUUUUAUAUAACAUAAGACCACGGAUCCAAACUUAUGAUACAAAUUAACUUAAUUUUUAUGCAUCACAAGUUGCAAAUAUUCAUUAGUAGAGUUUGUCACCAGGCUACUAGCUAUGACAUUGAGAAGUAUGGAACCAACCCAACAAAGACAUGGAAAGGGGAAAAAAUGAAUAAAAAAGGAGAAGAAGAUUGGGAAGAGAUUGAAAGAAAACCAUACCUGAGAUUUAAACACCCAACAGGGAAGAAGAUUAAGUGCAAUAAAAGGUCUUUAUUCCAAGACUGAAGAAACUGAAGAAGCAUUAGUUGAAGGUGGAAAAAGGAGGAGGGUGUUGCUGUCAUCGUACAAAUACAUCACUGCUGAUGCUAAAUGACUAAACUGCCCUCAAGCUUUUUGAAAUAGACACUAAACAGACAAGUCGAAACUCAAGCGCUUCCAAUAUAUAGUAAAGUAAAGUAAUAUAUAUGAAAAUUAAAACAUUUGUAUUGCAAAAUAUAUCGACUGAAAACAGUUUUGAGCGUAUUUAAUUGUUAGUUCUAAGGCUCCAAUGUCAUUCAGCCAAUUGGUCGAACAUAUGGCAUGCAAUUUCAGGGAAAUAUAUGAAAGUGCGAUAUGAAUUAGCCAUCCCAAAACAAUUAGGGCAAAGUAAUCACAGCAACCCUUGAUCAAUUUCACACAACCAUCAAAAUAGUCCAAAAUAAGAAGAAAAACUAAAGAUAUCUAUCAAAAUCUCAUCACCGUAUAAAGGAAAUAGAACAGAGCCCAAAAACGCAAAGAAAGAAACUGCAAAAACCAACACAUAUCAUCAAAAUCCCAUCACCAAGAAAAUCCGCAGAAUUCACAUAUAUGAUAAACCCCAAAACCAAACAGCAAAUGAAAAAAUGUAUAAAUCUAAGUAAAAGCUAAUGGCCAGAGUGAAGAAGAAACUUAAGGAACAGCCAGAAUAGGGCAAUAAUCGAGCAGAAAGACUUAAGACCAAACUCAAAUUUCAACUCAAGAAGGUCACCUGGUUUUAGCCCUUUCUCGGUCUUACGCUUUGAUUGCCAUGAAUUGUUUCUCCGUGCAUGCCUUGAAAAUUCCAGAUUGGGAUACUGAGUAGAAAGAGAGAAAAGGGAUUAAGAUGUUAAAGAGAAGAGAUGGUAGACACGUAUACGCAUGAUACAACAAAAGUGAUGCUAAAUGACUAAAUUGCCCUCAAUCUUUUUCAAAUAGACACUAAACAGACAUCUCGAAAAACUUGCUCUUCUAAUAUACAGAAACUAGGUUUACGCUUAUAAGCUUGUCGCACGUUUUCUCAUUCCAGUUUCCCUAAAUAAGCAUGGCUAAAGAAAAGAAGAAGAAGCUAGAGCACCAAAACCCUAGCCCUAGCAAACCCGCCGAUGAAGAAGCAGAACAAGAAGGCAAAAAUGAUACACAAUACUCCCAACAUCAAGAAAUUGACAAAGUAAAAUCCGAUAAGAAGAAGAAAAAGAAAGAGAAGCAGCUUGCCGUGACAAUUGAAACCAUCGCUGAAAACCUUAAUAAGACAUCUCCGAUUGUUGGUUACUUCUCUUCAGGUUAUGACCCGUUAAGG